RNAcentral lists this ribosomal RNA (492 nucleotides) under uncultured bacterium. RNAcentral's name for it is "partial 16S ribosomal RNA". It matches the Rfam family "Bacterial small subunit ribosomal RNA", at positions 29 to 507 of the family's 1533-position model. The record is from RNAcentral.
AGUGAACGCUGGCGGUAGGCCUAACACAUGCAAGUCGAACGGCGGCACAGUAAGAGCUUGCUCUUACGGGUGGCGAGUGGCGGACGGGUGAGGAAUACAUCGGAAUCUACUUUUUCGUGGGGGAUAACGUAGGGAAACUUACGCUAAUACCGCAUACGACCUACGGGUGAAAGCAGGGGAUCUUCGGACCUUGCGCGAUUGAAUGAGCCGAUGUCGGAUUAGCUAGUUGGCGGGGUAAAGGCCCACCAAGGCGACGAUCCGUAGCUGGUCUGAGAGGGUGAGCAGCCACACUGGAACUGAGACACGGUCCCGACUCCUACGGGAGGCAGCAGUGGGGAAUAUUGGACAAUGGGCGCAAGCCUAAGCCAGCCAUACCGCGUGGGUGAAGAAGGCCUUCGGGUUGUAAAGCCCUUUUGUUGGGAAAGAAAAGCAGCAGGUUAAUACCCCGCUGUUCUGACGGUACCCAAAGAAUAAGCACCGGCUAACUUCGUG